Long non-coding RNA from Lates calcarifer (barramundi perch), 324 nucleotides. RefSeq lists it as uncharacterized. NCBI's taxonomy places the organism in Eukaryota, Metazoa, Chordata, Actinopteri, Centropomidae. The transcript has 3 exons. The record is from RefSeq and is a predicted model, not a curated record.
GAGAGGCGGAGAAAGGAAGUCGGAAAACAGAUUUAAACCAACGUUUAAACCAAUGCAUCUGUUUGUCAGUCCUGUGAGAGAGCGCCGUUACCGGAGAGAUCUGGAAGCUAAAACAAACCGUGGAGCUGCUUUUUGUCCAACACGAGUGAGACUGGACGCUGAACACACCUGUGAAGGUUGACUGGUUGAGCUGCUGCAGCCUGGACAGAAACACCUGCUCUCACCUGACAAACCAAACAGGUGUCACCACUUCAUCCACGAUCACAGAGAGUCUUCGUACAGUGAAGAAGUUCUGUGAGACCAGGACAGAGGCCUCCAGGUAAU